Molecule: long non-coding RNA, 1099 nt
Filed under: Sorghum bicolor (sorghum)
Lineage: Eukaryota; Viridiplantae; Streptophyta; Magnoliopsida; Poales; Poaceae
Description: long non-coding RNA (SBIC_LNC008840)
Source: RNAcentral
UUGUGGUAUUUCUGGAUCAUUACCAAGGCAGUGAUGGUAUAUUCCUUCUCUCAAGAUAUGUAGUAUUUGUGGUAUAAAGCAUAGUGACAUUGUCUUCUCUCUCACCCUACUCUAAUAAGGCUUUAAUAUCUGGAGCUCAUAGGUGGGAGAUAAAGUAUACAUACUUACAAGACAUUUAUUGUAUAGUCAAACCAUGGAUCCAAAGAUACAAGUCAGUAAGUUUAAUCAAGAUGUGCAUGUGUGGCGAAUGAAUGGUGUAUGGUGAUGAUGGUGAAAACAAUGGUGAAAGUCUAAUUCUACUUUUGCUCUUUUGAGGGGAUACAUACCUUCCUUGCUUUCUGAAACUUUAUGAGGAGAAUGAGAUGCUCUAUAUUUUUCUUUUCUCUCAGGUGGGUAUCUUGUACCCCUAAUUCUACUGUCGGACACUUGUCCAUUUUUACCUCUCGUCUCACUCUUUUUUUUCUUUUCUUUCGAGGUUCCGAGCACUUGCUCCUUUUUAUUUCCUCGUAUCUCUUUUUUUAGAGCACUCAUCUCUUGAGAUAAUAUAGUAAGUGGUUGUAACAAGAUAACUUGAGCAUUUAUUUCACAGGGGAAAACAGAAAUAUUUUUGGCUAUUCUCUCCCGGGUUAGGAGUAGAAUAUUUUUAGGUGGUUCUAGAGAUGAGAAUGGGUGGAUAUAUGUGGAUGGUACUUUCGGAGUAGAAGUAGCAUGUAUGAGUGAACGUGCAAGUGAAAUCUUGAUUUAACCACAUGACAAGCUCCUAAGGGUCUACACAGCUUGACCACACUCAAUGCUCAUAAGGAGUAAAUAGUAAAUGUGUGGCUCAAAGUCUAGCAAGCAUGUAUAUAUGGCUGUGGUAGGAAUUUAAACUCUCAUCAUACAGGAACUCAUCAUGCAAUAUUUUAAAGAUUUUCAAAGAUAAAAUUCUCCAGAAUUCUAGCAUCUCUAGGAACAGAUAAAUAGCAGCUCAACCUUCCCAUAUCGUAUCAGUUAACAACUUAGACUUCAGAUCAAGUUUUCAUCCCACAAGUUUAGGUCUAGAGCAAGCUUUAAAUUAUAACAGUUAUAUCUAAACUUGAGAGAGAACUUAAAAUGUGCA